UCUUUUUUUUUUUUUUUUCGCUCAGAACAUCAAUCUGAAAGCUAAUUUUACUAUCCUUUCUUCUGUGUUAAAGGGGUUACCAGGGCAAGAUGGGCCACCAGGACCCCCAGGUAUCCCAGGAUGCAAUGGAACAAAGGGAGAACAUGGAUUCCCAGGAAGUCCAGGUUUUCCAGGUUUACAAGGCCCUCCUGGACCCCCUGGCUUUCCAGGUAUGAAGGGUGAACCUGGUGAAAUAAUUAUGUCCUCGCUUCCAGGACAGAAAGGUGACCCAGGAUUCCCAGGUCUUCCGGGGAUACCAGGUCCACCUGGUCCCAUUGGUACGUCAGGCCCGAUUGGUCCUCCUGGGCCACCAGGUUUGACGGUAAGUUUCCUUAGCUUGUCAGAAUUCUGUUGCUCAGCUCAGGGGAGAUUUCUCUGUGCUCAGACCUCUGAUUAGAGG
RNAcentral lists this long non-coding RNA (439 nucleotides) under Crocodylus porosus (Australian saltwater crocodile). Its description in RNAcentral is "lncRNA (ENSCPRG00005008874.1)". Lineage: Eukaryota; Metazoa; Chordata; Crocodylia; Crocodylidae. The record is from RNAcentral.